UUUGACACCAUCUUCCAGGAUGGAGAUUAUUUGUGAAGACUUCAGUAGAAUCCCAGGACUAAACGUCUAAAUUUUUUCUCCAAACUUGACUGACUUGGGAAAACCAGGUGAAUAGAAUAAGAGCUGAAUGUUUUAAGUAAUAAACGUUCAAACUGCUCUAAGUAAAAAAAUGCAUUUUACUGCAAUGAAUUUCUAGAAUAUUUUUCCCCCAAAGCUAUGCCUCCUAACCCUUAAAUGGUGAACAACUGGUUUCUUGCUACAGCUCACUGCCAUUUCUUCUUACUAUCAUCACUAGGUUUCCUAAGAUUCACUCAUACAGUAUUAUUUGAAGAUUCAGCUUUGUUCUGUGAAUGUCAUCUUAGGAUUGUGUCUAUAUUCUUUUGCUUAUUUCUUUUUACUCUGGGCCUCUCAUACUAGUAAGAUUUUAAAAAGCCUUUUCUUCUCUGUAUGUUUGGCUCACCAAGGCGAAAUAUAUAUUCUUCUCUUUUUCAUUUCUCAAGAAUAAACCUCAUCUGCUUUUUUGUUUUUCUGUG
RNAcentral lists this long non-coding RNA (533 nucleotides) under Homo sapiens (human). Its description in RNAcentral is "non-protein coding lnc-IMMP1L-4:1". Lineage: Eukaryota; Metazoa; Chordata; Mammalia; Primates; Hominidae. The record is from RNAcentral.